UCUGCCUCCUUCUGUCCUCUCUGGUCUUAAUGCGAGAACCUUAAUUGACUCAGAGCGCCUGUAUCUGCUCCAUCUGCCUGAUGCACGAACACUGUUGCUGCUGCUGCUCAACAGAGAGCUUCGAGUUAUGUUGCAAGUUCUGAGAGUGUGAUCAAGUCAACCUAGAUCAAGACAAGACAGGCAGAGAUCUUCUGGCAGCAAUAGAAAAGCAGAAAGAUAUCAGUGGAGAGUAAAUGAAAAUAGCCACAUGCAAAGAAAAGGCAUCAACAAAGCCAGGAAUCUUAGUGGGAAUAGUCCAAAAUCUUCCAUACAUCAGGUGCUUCAGACUAACAAAACAUCCCAGUUAGGUUAAACAUGCAUAAACAAAUCUUUUUCUUUUUUUUUGUAUAGACCUGCUUCAGUGUGUUUCAUUUGUCAAGGUACACAUGUGAUCUUGGUGCUUACUUAGAAAGGAGCACAGAGAAAUUAAGAAACUUGUGUAGAAUCUCAUAGUAGAAUUUAGAACUAGUUUGAAGAUGUUUAGUUACUAGAGUCCUAACUCUCUAAAUAUGAGAUUAAAUCAAUCGCACAAAUAUUAAUAUCACAAUGCACAACAAAACAUAUGUUCACUAUGCACACAAGAGGCAGUAGUAAUCUCAUUCAGAGGACUGUGAAGACCAGGAAAAAUGUUGUCAUUGCUGGAAAUUGAGCCUAUAUGGGCUAAUAAAAUAUUAUGCUCAGUUUUAUUGACAGUAAACUCAGAAUUAGUACAGUAGCAGGCAAAGAGAUCAAGGAGGAGCAAAGCAAAAAGAGGAAAAGAGAAAUGACAUGUAUGGAGAGAAAACAGUUUGAAGCUCUUACAUUUUCCCAUUGUAAUCCCAAGAAUUCUUUGUCUACAUUCCUUUUUUGUUUUAUUGGUUAAGAAAAAGGAGGCGAUUUAUUCUCAAAGAUAAGUUUAGACAGAAAGAAUGAGGCAGAAAAACAUUUCGUUUUUUUAUUAUUCAAAGUGAGUCUUGCACCCUAAGCAUUAGACAUCCCUUUUGCAUGUUAGAUAGAAGCCAGAACAACAUUUUUAACAGUUUCAAUUUACUGAACAUCCGCCUAAUUGUGUUUUAUGAGGUAUGGCAACAAAAUAGCAGCAGAGUUUAACAAGGCAAUAAUGUUUAUCAAGAACUGGCCAAGUUAAAAAGCAAGUAUGUGUUCUUUGAUCAAAAGAAAAAGAAGGACAGAAAGAUUGAGAGAGAGGGGCCUGUUGUGACCCAUCCGUUUCUGGGUGUAAUUCUUGAACACAGGAAGCUGUAGUGACAGAUACGGCAUGUUUUCCACAGCAACGUGUGGCUCUGUGGAAGGAUGGAUAUGAUCAUUGGAGGGCAGAGAGUCCUGUUGUUAACUAUAUUAGCUGAAAAACAAGGAUGAUAGCUGAGCUCUGAUUCACCAGCAUUCUGACACAGGCAGAAGCAAAAUGAAGGCAGAAAACAAAUCAAUAACAUUUAGUUUUCCCUGAGGACGUCAGGUAAAUUUGUGCACAGACUUAUGUUCACAGACUUACUUUGUGAUCAUAAUCCUGAAUUGACACAUUUUUUUAUAAUGUUAGAAUUACAUCUCAUGCAUCAAGCUCAUGCACCCACACCCAGUAAAAAACUAGAGAUCCCAUCCAUCUGAACCAGUACAAGAAUUGCAUAAGACAUCCAUUAAAAACAAAUGUGUUUUUCAAAAAGAGCAGACUCUCUUGUUUUCCUGUUCUUCGUCUUUGUGUUUUCAUAGGUUGAUGUUCACGGCCUUAGAGGUUCAAGUCGUAUCAUUCGGGGACGCUGUAUCGACAACCAUCGAGAGACAGAAUAACAAGAUGAUUCUUCUAAUAGACUAUUUCACAAACAGAGACAUUCUGAUCUACAGAGGUCAAAUUUAGGCUACAUUAAACCAGCAAGAAUUAGUGCUCAGUUGUUCACAUCAUCUUUUUUUAAAUGUGGCAAAUAUUAGAUUGCUGUGAGAAUUGAUCAUGGUCCUGAAAUGACCCGCAUGUGCAAAAGAACGAUAAUGAGACGCCAUGACUGUCAUACGGAAGUAAACACGGGGGCCACUGAUGUAAGCAUUUACAUGUUCAUUUUUUAAGGUGUUGUGGCAUGGAAGCCAGCGGAUUUGUGAGCAGGUGAUAAAGUGGACGAAGAUGAAGAGAGAGCAAAGUUUUUGAAUAUUUAGCUCGUAUAGAGCUGUAACUGUAAUACUUAUGAGUUUAACACCUCACUGCCUCUCCACCGACUAUCUCUGCAACUGUAUAUCAUAUUCACAGCGUGAUCAAAGAUCUACCGGUAUGUAAAAUCUUUGGAGUGACUCCCGUCAGUGCCAAAUCAUGACGAACAUUGAUCUAGAAUGACGUAAAUUCAGACUGAUGCCAUAUUGCAAAACAUCUGACCUGUUUUAGAUUUAGGACCACAUAUGGAAGUGGUCCAAAUCAGAAUCAAAAAGGUCAGAUUCCAUGAGGUUUGUGCUCUUCACACUGCAUGAAAAAUAAAAUUAUCUGAGUCACAUAUCAGCAAAAAAAAUUCGAUUCGGGCCACAUUUUCCUGCAGCCUUAACCUAACCUUAGACACUUUAAUAAGUUGCUGUCACAAGACAAAACUAUAUUAGUAGGAGGUUUUAUGGCCAUUUAAUACUUUUUAGAGACAGAAGCUCAUUUUGACAUCAGUUCAGCUCUGAAUUUAGUUUAUAGGUAUGCCAAACCUCUGCAUUUAUCUCAGUCCUUUUCAUUUUGCCUAUUUUAUGCAUAUCAUUGAUCUAGCCUGAUCUAGCCAUCACUAUUUGGCCUUUGUCAAAGUCAUUCAGAUCUUUUCACUUGCCUAUUUUUCCUGCUUCCAACACCUGAAAUUCAAGAACUGACUGUUCACUUUCUGCCUAAUAUAUUCCACACAUUUACAUGUUCCAUUGUAACCAUAUAAUCAAUGUUCACU
This is a long non-coding RNA of Sinocyclocheilus rhinocerous, 2927 nucleotides long. RefSeq lists it as uncharacterized. The transcript is spliced from 3 exons. NCBI's taxonomy places the organism in Eukaryota, Metazoa, Chordata, Actinopteri, Cypriniformes, Cyprinidae. The record is from RefSeq and is a predicted model, not a curated record.